RNAcentral lists this long non-coding RNA (1082 nucleotides) under Oncorhynchus kisutch (coho salmon). RNAcentral describes it as "lncRNA (ENSOKIG00005012326.1)". Lineage: Eukaryota; Metazoa; Chordata; Actinopteri; Salmoniformes; Salmonidae. The record is from RNAcentral.
AUGUUAUGGUAAAAAAAGAGAGAGAGAAGGGGGGUGCAGGAGGGAAUACGACAGAGGAAAAGGAGGGGAAUAUAGAGAGGGCAGAUCUAGGACCAGUCUAAAUGGUUUACCCCUAUAGUAAUCUCAGCACAUGGAAAAUAAAAGAAACUGACACCAGAUCAGUGUACUCUUUGCGGCCCGUUCCAUACCACACCAAUCGGGACAUACACGAUAGAGAGGAAAUCGUGUUCCACGCCAGUCCCGCACACGCCACUAGAAUUCACUGAACAUACUGCGAGAAAAAGGAGGGUGAUAAAAAGAAGGCCAGGAUAAAGAGAAGGUGAAAGCAAAGAAGGGCUUAAAAAUAUAUUUGGUUGGGAGCGGAGGACGCAUUGACUUCGCAAGGAGAAGAUUAGCGAUUCAAAUCAUUUCCUAAAAUUUUCUAUAUUCGGCGGAUAAAAAAAGUAUUGUUAGCUAGCUAGCUACUCUUACGAGGUAGCGGAAUGUGUAGCUAGCUAAUUAGCAAGGAAUUAGUGUUUUGUAUUUACUUGGUUUACGUGUUCUAUUGUGACUAUUUUUCUAACGCUAGUAAUCGUGUGAAAUGUGCACGAGCCACACAUGGUCAUGGUGUUCUGUGUUGAUUAGACAAUAACAAUCUAGCUAGCGGUACAAUACAUUUGGCCAAGAAGACCAGCUACAAUCAGCUAUUUGCACAUUCAAGGAAUAGCGUUCCUUGUCCCAGAAUAGGGAAUAGGUCAAAGGUAGCGUAGACUAGCUGCCGUCCAAUGUUAAUGUCGACCGACGUCGCAUCCAUAAUGUUACCCGUUACUCGGGGAAUGAUGGACAGGGAAAAGGACAUUGAUACAGAAACCGGACCCCACGCGAACACGACCGGGGGUCCAGCAGCAGUAGUCCGGGGAAUGAAACGAGGGGAUCCUGAGCAAACAGCUGCAGCUUUGACCGAAUUAGCAGGAGCAGAGUGCAAACGGCCAAGGAUAGACGGGACGGUGGGUGUUGGUGACAUUGGACAGAACAACGACCCUUUAACCCCAGGUUUCCUUGGAUACCCACCUAACAGCCAGGUAAGAGUACCAUCUUACUGA